Lycium barbarum (goji berry) is the source of this 2209-nucleotide long non-coding RNA. RefSeq lists it as uncharacterized. NCBI's taxonomy places the organism in Eukaryota, Viridiplantae, Streptophyta, Magnoliopsida, Solanales, Solanaceae. The record is from RefSeq and is a predicted model, not a curated record. The transcript has 8 exons.
AAAGAAAUUUAAUAUGCCCUACCCAAAUUCCCCCUCCCGCUCACCCAAAUUCUCCCUCCCGCUUUCCCCCAAAUACUAGUUCCCUCCAAAUUCUAUUUUUCCAUUAAAUCAUAUUCCCGCUCCCUAACCCUAUUAACCUCGGAUUCAUUGCCCAUUUCUCCUCACACGUUGUCGUUUCUCCCUCUCAUUUCUUCAGCGAAACUGUUUAUUUAGGUUUUAGUUUCGUUCUUUCGCUUUCUUUGUAUCUCUAUUACUUACAUUGUUUUAAUAUCUUGUGAAGUAUCCAACUGCGAAGUGCGACAAUCAGAAGGCAACCCUAUAAUUCUUAAUUUUUGAGGAAUAGGGAGUGAUUAGAAGUAACAGAGUUGCAGUGAAACUCUCAUGGUCUAUUCAGACUUCUAGGCUUCAUUCUCAGAAUCCAAUGCAGUGAAAUCUAAAAAUGGUUGUUUCUUGGAUCAAAUCAAUUUGAGCUGAGGGUCUAUCGGAAACAGCCUCCCUACCUUGGGGGAGGCAAGCAUUGUACCUAGCAUCCUUAAUCCCUCCGAUUGUCACUUUCCACUAUAUGGGUAGUCUGGACGUCGUAUUGACAACACAUACCUACAAGGUUCUCCUGUAAACAUUCGGAUAGGCACUAAAGUAUUGGUUCCAGCCUUGCAGUUUUUGAGAAAGGAAUUAGAGACAUGAGACCCUGGGGGCAAAAAGAGGAUAAUCAUACCUCCAGAACUAGGACCUCUGAUGCAAUUGGAAUCAAGUAAGUUCGCGGAAAAUCCAGAAGAAAGAUCAAUGUUGUCUAUGGAAACAAAAAUGAUAUUAGAGAUGCCAGUUGGUGAUGGGAGGUCACUUAUUGCAAUUCCAUAGCAAAGCUAUCAAAUGAGUUGAGAAUAAUUGCUCGAAAUUUUCCUUCGCUUCAAACAAGUAGAAGGAACUCACACGAGAGGAGAAAGUACAAUGAUUAGAUGGACAUUGUAUUUUUCAAAACAAUCACAUUUUUAUCAUAGAAGAUAUUAGUUAGUCACAAAAUUGAAUAUAUUUGCGACAAAACAUAGUCUUUGUCCCUGGAAUAUUGCCUACUAAUCUAUAAUAUAAUUCAUUCUUUGACUACAAUUUAUAUUUGAAUUUAUUACAAUACUUUUUGUCACUAAUCACAACAAUAUAUAGUGACAAUUUUUUUUUAGCAGAAAUAAUAUUUUUAGCAACGAAAUAAUAGGUUCUAGCUACAAAAUUGCAUAUAACUUCAGAGACAAUUGAGAUCGUCACUAAUUAAACUAAAGUUUUAGUGACAAGCUAAUUUCAUCGGCAUUGAUAACAUUUUUAGCGACGAAAACACUCUUUCAACUACAAUUUUGAUGUACUUUUUUGACAAAUGAGUUUGUCACAAAUACUACGCAUUUGGGGACGAAAAAUAAUUUUGUAGCUAAUAUAAUUUUAUUUAGCGACGAAACACUAAGUUGUCUCCGUAUACAUUUAGCGACCCACGUUUAGGGACGAACAAUGAUGAAUUUUUUUUUGGUCAAGAAAGAUUUUUCGUGACGAAAUAUGAUGGUGAAGUGACAAAAUAAUUUGUCACUGAUAAUCGAAUUUGUUGUAGUGAUACUUGAUUUUUCAAAUUUUUAAGUGAAUUUUCAUAUUCCAAAACUACAAUUCUUACCCUAUAAAUUCAAGUACUCUUCUAAUACUAUUUUCAUAGAGACCUCUCUAUUUAUCCACAGAAAGAUUCCUUAUGCUACAAUUCUUAUGUGCAGAAGGCUAAAGGAGCUCUAAAUCAGUGAAACAAUGUCAAGACAGGAAGAUCUGUGGCAAAAGCUGUGAGGUCUGCUUAUGUGGUUGUGGGGAUAGUUCUUAUUUUAAGAAUUUGAUCGAAGGGUUAGCAACAGAGAUUGCGAGAGUGAGGAAGAAAGCGCUAGACUGCUAUGGAAUGGAGAUUGCGAGAGGAUGAAAGAGUGAAAGAAAAGUCAAAUUUGCUCCAGCUUUAAAUUUAAUGAAACGGAAGCAGACAUGUCGAAACUAAGCUCUUCUAUAUAAUAGAAAUGUGAUGGUGGAUAAAAAUAUCUUAUUUUUUGGACACAUUUUAUUAUAAUUAUCAGGAGGUCCAAAGGCCAAAGUAAUAGGUUAAUAUACAAAUGCUCGACAUUUUAUCAUUCAAAAUAAUAAUUAUUUUUAGUAGAUGAGUAAUUCUAUUUAAAAUUAAGUGGAAUUUAAAGAGUUUUCC